AAUGCUCCCAGUUAGCUUUUGUGUCUCUUAUUAUGUAAAACUUCAGCUAGCUUGUGUCUCUAGCCAUUUUAUGGAUAGGAGUUGGAUCCCAAAACCUUCUCACUUCUCGAGUUCAUUUAGUUUAGGAAAUUUCCAAAAACUUCUCACCAGGCAAAUAGCAAAAAAAAAAAUCAGCACCUGCACGGGCCAGGAUUUGAACCCAACACCUCAAGUUGUA
This 217-nucleotide long non-coding RNA is filed under the name Sorghum bicolor (sorghum). Its description in RNAcentral is "long non-coding RNA (SBIC_LNC013028)". The record is from RNAcentral. Lineage: Eukaryota; Viridiplantae; Streptophyta; Magnoliopsida; Poales; Poaceae.